AGUAACACCAAGCCAUCAACAGAAAAAGAAAGAACAUGGAUGAGGAGGAGAGGAGUGUGGUUUAUCUAUAUGGUGAGAACAAAGAAUACAAUAUGUGGUAUCGAUUGGUUGUUGAUGAUGGGACGACCAAAAACAAGGAGGAAAACCAACCAAUUUCACCAGUUGCCCUUCUAUCGUUUGCUGAGUAUGGAAUCAGAGGAGACUGGGGAUGUUAUGGAUGACGACAUCUACUGGGCUGGAGGAGCUAUCGAUGGCGAAGUUUGUAAGUGUCUGCCUAAGCAUAACAUUCAUCAUGACGACCCUACCUCUUGGGAUAAAUUAACUACCUUGAACAUUCCCCGUCACACUCCCAUCCUCGUUGCCACUGGUAGAAAGAUAUCUAUCGUCUCUGGCUAUGACCUCAACCCUGAACAGCACAUGGCCGAUGAUAAUUGGAAAAAAUCUGGUGAAAUUUACGACCUUGACGAAGAAACUUUCUUACCUCCCUUCUUCUGACAUUGAAAAAAUGGAAUACCAUUAUCAUCAGCAUAUUAUUGAGGAGCAGGUGUUUUAUUCCUUCGAAGAGGGUUCUAUGCUGAUUGCGGAUACCUCUGCCGGUAGUGUGGUGGUCGAACACGGACACCCCUCCAAAGACAACUUCAGCUUUGUGGCUCUACAGAAUCGACGUGGUCGUGUUCCACUGGGUCUCGAACGUUGUCUGUCCGCCGGUCGAUCAUUAGACACUGCUGUCGCUUGUACACGUCCAGUCUUACUCAAUCGAACAUUAUAUUACUUCACCUAUGAUCUUAGGCUUUACGGUUAUGAUUUGGAUCUACAUAAAUGGUUCCGAUCUAAAUCCCUUCAUCCUCAAAUAUACCCACUCAGGCACAAUCAUGGCUCGUACUUAUCUGUUCUUACUCUUUUGCUUCCCCUGCCAAAUCGAGAUCUCUUGGCGCUUACUCGCAAGCAGCGUGAAGCCGGCUGUUUUACAAUGGCCUCCCUCUCCGUGAACAAAAACUACACCUCUUUAGAUGUCACCGUGAAGCACACUCAGCAAUUUCGCACUGAUUACCCUCUUUUCAGUCCCUUCGCUGGGAAGGCAAUUGUAGGAGGUUGAACAAUGCAUGAUGCCAUGCAAGGAUGAGUCAAAUCUGCAACGGCGAGCUAAUGGCAUCUUGUUCAAAUCGUUGAGCUGGUGUUGGCUCUUUAAGUUGAUGGAUGCAGCUACCUUCUUUAGUAUAUUAGUUUUAUGCUUUAGCUUUGUGCAAAUAUGCUACAAUGUUAAAAACCUUAUUAGGUUGUCUUUUAUAUUGUUUGCCUAACUUACAAAUUUUAAGUUUGCUGUUUUUCUUC
This is an RNA transcript of Capsicum annuum, 1332 nucleotides long. RefSeq lists it as uncharacterized. Lineage: Eukaryota; Viridiplantae; Streptophyta; Magnoliopsida; Solanales; Solanaceae. The transcript is spliced from 3 exons. The record is from RefSeq and is a predicted model, not a curated record.